GACGAACGCUGGCGGCGUGCUUAACACAUGCAAGUCGAACGGAAAGGCCCUGCUUUUGUGGGGUGCUCGAGUGGCGAACGGGUGAGUAACACGUGAGUAACCUGCCCUUGACUUUGGGAUAACUUCAGGAAACUGGGGCUAAUACCGGAUAGGAGCUCCUGCUGCAUGGUGGGGGUUGGAAAGUUUCGGCGGUUGGGGAUGGACUCGCGGCUUAUCAGCUUGUUGGUGGGGUAGUGGCUUACCAAGGCUUUGACGGGUAGCCGGCCUGAGAGGGUGACCGGCCACAUUGGGACUGAGAUACGGCCCAGACUCCUACGGGAGGCAGCAGUGGGGAAUAUUGCACAAUGGGCGGAAGCCUGGUGCAGCAACGCCGCGUGCGGGAUGACGGCCUUCGGGUUGUAAACCGCUUUCGCCUGUGACGAAGCGUGAGUGACGGUAAUGGGUAAAGAAGCACCGGCUAACUACGUGCCAGCAGCCGCGGUGAUACGUAGGGUGCGAGCGUUGUCCGGAUUUAUUGGGCGUAAAGGGCUCGUAGGUGGUUGAUCGCGUCGGAAGUGUAAUCUUGGGGCUUAACCCUGAGCGUGCUUUCGAUACGGGUUGACUUGAGGAAGGUAGGGGAGAAUGGAAUUCCUGGUGGAGCGGUGGAAUGCGCAGAUAUCAGGAGGAACACCAGUGGCGAAGGCGGUUCUCUGGGCCUUUCCUGACGCUGAGGAGCGAAAGCGUGGGGAGCGAACAGGCUUAGAUACCCUAGUAGUCCACGCUGUAAACGGUGGGUACUAGGUGUGGGGUCCAUUCCACGGGUUCCGUGCCGUAGCUAACGCUUUAAGUACCCCGCCUGGGGAGUACGGCCGCAAGGCUAAAACUCAAAGGAAUUGACGGGGCCCCGCACAAGCGGCGGAGCAUGCGGAUUAAUUCGAUGCAACGCGUAGAACCUUACCUGGGUUUGACAUGGAUCGGGAGUGCUCAGAGAUGGGUGUGCCUCUUUUGGGGUCGGUUCACAGGUGGUGCAUGGCUGUCGUCAGCUCGUGUCGUGAGAUGUUGGGUUAAGUCCCGCAACGAGCGCAACCCUUGUUCACUGUUGCCAGCACGUUAUGGUGGGGACUCAGUGGAGACCGCCGGGGUCAACUCGGAGGAAGGUGGGGAUGACGUCAAGUCAUCAUGCCCCUUAUGUCCAGGGCUUCACGCAUGCUACAAUGGCUGGUACAGAGAGUGGCGAGCCUGUGAGGGUGAGCGAAUCUCGGAAAGCCGGUCUCAGUUCGGAUUGGGGUCUGCAACUCGACCUCAUGAAGUCGGAGUCGCUAGUAAUCGCAGAUCAGCAACGCUGCGGUGAAUACGUUCCCGGGGCU
This 1346-nucleotide ribosomal RNA is filed under the name uncultured bacterium. RNAcentral's name for it is "partial 16S ribosomal RNA". It matches the Rfam family "Bacterial small subunit ribosomal RNA", at positions 28 to 1381 of the family's 1533-position model. The record is from RNAcentral.